AUUGAACGCUGGCGGCAUGCUUUACACAUGCAAGUCGAACGGUAACAGGCCGCAAUGUGCUGACGAGUGGUGAACGGGGGAGUAAUGCAUCGGAACGUGCCCAGUCGUGGGGGAUAACUACUCGGAUGAGUAGCUAAUACCGCAUACGAUCUAUGGAUUAAAGCGGGGGACUGGAAGGCCUCGCGCGAUUGGAGCUGCCGAUGUCAGAUUAGGUAGUUGGUGGGGUAAAGGCUCACCAAGCCAACGAUCUGUAGCUGGUCUGAGAGGACGACCAGCCACACUGGGACUGAGACACGGCCCAGACUCCUACGGGAGGCAGCAGUGGGGAAUUUUGGGCAAAGGGCGCAAGCCUGAUCCAGCAAUGCCGCGUGCAGGAAGAAGGCCUUCGGGUUGUAAACUGCUUUUGUACGGAACGAAACGGCUCUGGUUAAUACCCGGGGCUAAUGACGGUACCGGAAGAAUAAGCACCGGCUAACUACGUG
This 482-nucleotide ribosomal RNA is filed under the name uncultured bacterium. RNAcentral describes it as "partial 16S ribosomal RNA". It matches the Rfam family "Bacterial small subunit ribosomal RNA", at positions 30 to 507 of the family's 1533-position model. The record is from RNAcentral.